GAUGAAGAACGCAGCGAAAUGCGAUAAGUAGUGUGAAUUGCAGAAUUCAGUGAAUCAUCGAAUCUUUGAACGCACAUUGCGCCCCUUGGUAUUCCAUGGGGCAUGCCUGUUCGAGCGUCAUUACAACCCUCAAGCUCUGCUUGGUAUUGGGCCCCGCCAGUUCUGGCGGGCCCUAAAGUCAGUGGCGGUGCCUUCCGGCUCCGAGCGUAGUAAUUCUUCUCGCUCUGGAGACCCGGUUGUGUGCUUGCCAACAACCCCCAAUUUUUUAAGGUUGACCUCGGAUCAGGUAGGGAUACCCGCUGAACUUAAGCAUAUCAAUAAGCGGAGGA
This 329-nucleotide unclassified non-coding RNA is filed under the name soil metagenome. RNAcentral describes it as "partial contains 5.8S ribosomal RNA, internal transcribed spacer 2, and large subunit ribosomal RNA". The stretch from base 1 to 120 matches the Rfam family "5.8S ribosomal RNA", at positions 35 to 154 of the family's 154-position model. The record is from RNAcentral.